RNAcentral lists this long non-coding RNA (571 nucleotides) under Homo sapiens (human). Its description in RNAcentral is "HSALNT0080020". The record is from RNAcentral. Lineage: Eukaryota; Metazoa; Chordata; Mammalia; Primates; Hominidae.
CUUUAUUCUUCACAACAGCUCUAUCAGAAAAAUGAGAAAAUGGAAAGAUGAAGAAGCUAAUAAUUUAUUCAAGAUCAAACUGCCAAGAAGUGACCAAACUACCUUGGAUUCAGAUCCAAAUCGGCUGGACUUCCCCACUUACGCUUAUGACCGCUGAGCCACGCCACCUUCCCAAGUUCAUCCAGUGCUCUCUCAACUCUGUCAAACUGGCUUCCCUGAAAUAAUUUGUAUUUCUUAUCCACAGUGGGAUAAAUUAGAGAAACCAUAGCCAGGUGUGUAAGUGGAAAGAUUGACUAAUAGACAUCUGAUAGAGCAAACAGCCUAAGUCUGCAAUAUCUCUCUCAGGUCUGUCUUUAUUCAAGUGUAUGAGAUGGUGGUAAUCAUCAAUGUUCCCCAGUAUCAGUACCUAAUAUUUAAAAGGGUUAUCACGUUGGGCCAUACGUUUGGGCUUGAUGAUUCACAGGAGGUGAAGAGAACUUCAACUCUCAAUUGCAAUCCCAAUGCAUUUGUCAUGAUGCUGAGUUACACAGAACUAGGGCACAUGUAAAAUAAAUACCUCUUUUUGUUCCAA